Molecule: ribosomal RNA, 502 nt
Filed under: uncultured Lachnospiraceae bacterium
Lineage: Bacteria; Bacillati; Bacillota; Clostridia; Lachnospirales; Lachnospiraceae
Description: partial 16S ribosomal RNA
Source: RNAcentral
CACGUAUUUAGCCGGUGCUUCUUACUCAGGUACCGUCAUUUUUCUUCCCUGCUGAUAGAGCUUUACAUACCGAAAUACUUCUUCGCUCACGCGGCGUCGCUGCAUCAGGGUUUCCCCCAUUGUGCAAUAUUCCCCACUGCUGCCUCCCGCAGGAGUUUGGGCCGUGUCUCAGUCCCAAUGUGGCCGGCCGCCCUCUCAGGCCGGCUACUGAUCGUCGGUUUGGUGGGCCGCUGCCCCGCCAACUGCCUAAUCAGACGCGGGCCCCUCCCGUACCGCCGGAGCUUUUCACACCGCGCCAUGCGGCGCUGUGCGCUUAUGCGGUAUUAGCAGCCGUUUCCGGCUGUUAUCCCCCUGUACGGGGCAGGUUGCCCACGCGUUACUCACCCGUCCGCCACUCAGUCCCGCGGCUCUCCGGCCCGAAGGCCUUCCUUCCGCGCGCUUCGUUCGACUUGCAUGUGUUAAGCACGCCGCCAGCGUUCAUCCUGAGCCAGGAUCAAACUCU